UGGUUAAGCGUCCGACUUUGGCUCAGGUCAUGAUCUCACGGUUCAUGGGUUCGAGCCCCACAUCAGGCUCUGUGCUGACAGCUCAGAGUCUGGAUCCUGCUUUGAAUUCUGUGUCUUCCUCUCUCUCUGCCCCUCCCCAGCUUGUGCUCUGUCUGUCUGUCUCUCUCUCAUAAAUAAACAUUAAAAAACUAAUGAGAUAGGCUUAUUAGGAUAUACUAUACAAAAACCAGCUCAUACUUAAAAUGUACGGUUUGAUGAGGUUGGACAUAUGUAUACAACUGUGAAAUCAUCAUGAUCAAGAUAAUAGACAUGUCACCUCCAAAAGGUUCCUUGUGUCCCUUUGGUUGUUUUUCUAAAAGCGCUUCACAUGAAAUGUCUCAAAAUUUUAAGUGCAUAAUACAGUACACCAGAUCUUUAGGACUAAUUCAGCCUGCGUAUCUGAAACUUUGUAUCAACAGAACAACUCCCCCUUAACCCUUUCUCUUGGUCCCUGGUAACCACAGUUCUAUUUUCUGAUUCUACAAGUAUGAUGAUUUUAGGUACCUCGUGUAAGUGGAACCAUGCAGUAUUUGUCCUUCUGUGGCUGGCUUAUUUCACUUAGCAUAAUGUCCUUCAGGUUUACCUAUGUUGUUGCAAAUGGCAGGAUUUCCCGUUUAUUUAUUUAUUUUUUACUUGUUAAAAUGUUUGUUUAUAUAUUCUGAUCAAGAGAGAGAACGAGCGAGAGCUGGAGAGAGCACGUGAGUGAACAGGGGAGGGGCAGAAAGAGAGGGACGGAGAGAAUCCCAAGCAGGCUCUGUGCUGUUGGCUCAGGGCCCUACUUGGGGCUCCAUCUUACAAACCAAACCGUGAGAUCAUGAUCUGAGCUGAAAUAGUCAGAUGCUUAACCAGCUGAGCCACCCAGGUGCCCCAGGAUUUGCCCUUUAAAGCAGAAUAAGACACUACUGUGUUGAUGCAAAAUGAACAAACCUUUUUUUUCUUUUUUAAGUUUCAAAGGAACAGACUUUUUUAUUCAAGCCCCAGUUUGGACAGCUGCCCCAGAUACACAAUCUUCACGAAGAAGAGAUCAUUCCAGGGAAGGAACAUUUGGUGCAGGGUUAUAUGUUUUGUUUUGUUUUGUUUUGUUUUGUUUUGUGUUGUUUUGUGUUGUUUUGUUUUACAUACUUACACAUCAUCAUGACAAAGGACAUUAUAGAAAGAGACUUUACCUAUGUUUUCAGUACGUGCAAGGCUGUGUGAAUUUAAUCUUGUGGGAACCAGGGAGGUUUUUUUUUUUUUUUCUUAUCUUUAUGUUUGGAAUGUUCUUUUCAUUGUUUUAGUGAAGCAGAUGUAUAGUGUUCUGGCCAGAAAUAGAGCUCAUGCUUCAAGAUUUUGCCAAGUCAUUUUGACCUUGGUAAAUGUUAAUGUUCCUUUAUUUCAUCAACUCUGUGAUGCAUGUAUAUAUAUUUAUUAAAAUAUAUAUAUUUAUCAUAUUUUCUUUAUCCAUUUCUCUUCAAUGGACAUUUAGGUUAUUUCCAUAACUUGGCUCUUGUGGAUAGUGCUACAAGGAGCAUAAGAAUGCAGAUAGGUCUUUGAGAUCCUGAUUUCCAUUCUUUUGAGUCUCUAUACCCAGGAAUGAGAUUGUUGGAUCAUAUGAUAGUUCUAGUUUUAAUUUUUUGAGGAAGUUUCAUGCUGUUUUCUAUAGCGGCUUGCCAUUUUACAUUCCUGUCAACAGUGUGCAAGGGUCCAAUUUCGCCACAUUCUUGCCAACACUUACUUUUUUUUUUUUUUUUUAAAUAACCAUCGUAACUGGUAUGAGGUGAUAUUUCAUUGUGGUUUUGAUUUGAAUUGCCCUCAUAAUUAGUGAUGUUGAGAAUCUUUUCUUAGACUUUUUGGCCUCUUAAAGGAGAGAUCGUCAGGAAGAAGAUAGGAGCAAUCAGGGCAUUGCAAGUCUUGAUUAUACAAAGACAUUAAUCAUGGGAACUCAAAUCCUCAUGUUCCAAGCCCUCCCCCAAAAAGAAAGAACAGGACUGAAAUCAACAUCUUUGAACGUGAAAUCUGGGGCAAGUGUGCAGGCUUUCUCAUAGGAAAGAUGUAGCAAAGUACAAGCUUGAUUAAAGCAGAUAAAGGGCUGAGUGUGGACACGUCUGGAAAAGAUGCUCCAGGAGGUAUCUCCAAGUCCGUGUCCUCCGAGUGUCCUCCGUGGUUCCUGAGGUCCUGGCACACCAGAGGCCAGACGCCCCAUGGCUGUAUUCGGCAGCCUCUAUCGCCACCAGGUAUCUCUUAGGGUAAGAGGUUGACUCAGAAUGCAGACACGAGUAGGGCGGAUGGAGGAUCUGUCACAUUGGCACGGUUUAUUAAAUUGACCAUGGGUGACAGGGAUACGUGGAAUCCGGAGCUCUGUCUUUAUGGUUGUAAUAACCUAGAGUUGAUGUACUUGAAAAAAAUAUUUGGUGCUAGCCGUCCCCGGGUUAUCACAUGAUCUGUAGCACAGUGCAAAUCACUACCCACUGGUGUAGCAUGGGGAGGAUUUGUGUUUCUAAGUUGCAUGUCUAGCCUAAGUGGCAACUGAGAGUAAUGUACAGUGAAGGGGACAAGAAAUUAGGUUUACUUGCCUGUAUUAGAAAUUUAAUAGAUGUUGUAUAUUCUCCUGUUAACAGUUUUUCCCCUUUUGUGACUGCUGCUUCGUCUUUUUCCACCAAUUGUAACACACGUUAUUCCUUGCCUCUCCUUCCACAUUUGCAUAAGUCUCAUAUCCACAGUCUUUAUAGAGCUCUGCAUUUUAUUUUCAGUCACUGCAUCUGUCAGAAGCAUAUUAUUACCAGUUGGCCCAACCAACUGCAAUCGACCCCAGAAAUUGUGUCCUUUAAGGACAGAAAACUGGACACUGGUGGUCACGAAUAAUUGUAGAAGUUACAGCCUCCCUAUUUAAAAGCUUUUCUUUUGAAAUAAUGUAAGGCUUACAUAAAAAUUGUGCAGGGAGUUCCUGUGGCUCUUACAGCAAAGUUCAGUCGAACAAAACUGUUUACAUUGUGAUAGUUCAUUUACCAGAAUUCAUAAAUUUACAUUGAUAGAGUAGUAUUUAACUGCAGUCAAAUCCGGAUUUCACCAGACUCAAACAGGCAGUCGCUCCUUUUUGUUAGGUUUUGUUUUCUUUGGUAUGGUACAUAACUAAAGACACUUUUUUCACUUGUAUAAAUCUGUAUGAAUCCUACCAGAAUACAGACACAGAAAUUCCUAAGAAACCCAGAGAAACUCCCUAUGUUCCUUCUUUUGGGGAUUUAUUUUGUUUAUAUUUUUUUUUAUCAUGAUAAGUGUACUCUUUAAUCCCCAUCCUCUAUUUCGUCCAUCCCCCCA
Molecule: long non-coding RNA, 3333 nt
Organism: Panthera uncia (snow leopard)
Lineage: Eukaryota; Metazoa; Chordata; Mammalia; Carnivora; Felidae
Exons: 3
Source: RefSeq, a predicted model, not a curated record